UCUGAUGGGACAACAGCCUGUUUUUCCUGCUGGACCCAAGGAUGUGGAAAUACUACGUUGGCAGAUUGCAGUCAUUCUCUUGGAGGCCUCAGAUGACUUGACAUCUAUCUGCUGCAUCUGUGGACAUGAAGAGGUGGAUGACUCCCAAGAUAAUAAGACCAUUAUUUGGAUAUCCUGUGAUGUGUGCGCGAGGUGGUUUCACCAUGCUUGCUUGGGAUGUCCAGACACAUCAUCAACUUUUACUUGUGAAGCC
Molecule: long non-coding RNA, 253 nt
Organism: Fundulus heteroclitus (mummichog)
Lineage: Eukaryota; Metazoa; Chordata; Actinopteri; Cyprinodontiformes; Fundulidae
Exons: 3
Source: RefSeq, a predicted model, not a curated record